UACGUAGGGUGCAAGCGUUGUCCGGAAUUAUUGGGCGUAAAGAGCUCGUAGGCGGUCUGUUACGUCGGAUGUGAAAACCCGAGGCUUAACCUCGGGCCUGCAUUCGAUACGGGCAGACUCGAGUGUGGUAGGGGAGACUGGAACUCCUGGUGUAGCGGUGAAAUGCGCAGAUAUCGGGAGGAACACCAGUAGCGAAGGCGGCUCGCUGGGCCACACCUGACGCUGAGACGCGAAAGCUAGGGGAGCGAACAGG
Molecule: ribosomal RNA, 253 nt
Filed under: uncultured bacterium
Lineage: Bacteria
Description: partial 16S ribosomal RNA
Rfam family: Bacterial small subunit ribosomal RNA
Source: RNAcentral